UACGUAGGGCGCAAGCGUGUCCGGAAUUAUUGGGCGUAAAGAGCUCGUAGGCGGCCUGUUACGUCUGCUGUGAAAUCCCGGGGCUUAACCCCGGGCGUGCAGUGGAUACGGGCAGGCUGGAGGCAGGCAGGGGAGAACGGAAUUCCCGGUGUAGCGGUGAAAUGCGCAGAUAUCGGGAGGAACACCGGUGGCGAAGGCGGUUCUCUGGGCCUGUACUGACGCUGAGGAGCGAAAGCGUGGGGAGCGAACAGG
RNAcentral lists this ribosomal RNA (252 nucleotides) under uncultured bacterium. Its description in RNAcentral is "partial 16S ribosomal RNA". It matches the Rfam family "Bacterial small subunit ribosomal RNA", at positions 524 to 776 of the family's 1533-position model. The record is from RNAcentral.